Molecule: ribosomal RNA, 497 nt
Filed under: uncultured bacterium
Lineage: Bacteria
Description: partial 16S ribosomal RNA
Rfam family: Bacterial small subunit ribosomal RNA
Source: RNAcentral
GAUGAACGCUGGCGGCGUGCCUAAUACAUGCAAGUCGAGCGAACGGACGAGAAGCUUGCUUUUCUGAUGUUAGCGGCGGACGGGUGAGUAACACGUGGAUAACCUACCUAUAAGACUGGGAUAACUUCGGGAAACCGGAGCUAAUACCGGAUAAUAUUUUGAACCGCAUGGUUCAAAAGUGAAAGACGGUCUUGCUGUCACUUAUAGAUGGAUCCGCGCUGCAUUAGCUAGUUGGUAAGGUAACGGCUUACCAAGGCAACGAUGCAUAGCCGACCUGAGAGGGUGAUCGGCCACACUGGAACUGAGACACGGUCCAGACUCCUACGGGAGGCAGCAGUAGGGAAUCUUCCGCAAUGGGCGAACGCCUGACGGAGCAACGCCGCGUGAGUGAUGAAGGUCUUCGGAUCGUAAAACUCUGUUAUUAGGGAAGAACAUAUGUGUAAGUAACUGUGCACAUCUUGACGGUACCUAAUCAGAAAGCCACGGCUAACUACGUG